This 71-nucleotide transfer RNA is filed under the name Candidatus Woesearchaeota archaeon CG10_big_fil_rev_8_21_14_0_10_36_11. RNAcentral's name for it is "tRNA-His". It matches the Rfam family "tRNA". Rfam says of the family: Transfer RNA (tRNA) molecules are approximately 80 nucleotides in length. Their secondary structure includes four short double-helical elements and three loops (D, anti-codon, and T loops). Lineage: Archaea; Nanobdellati; Candidatus Woesearchaeota. The record is from RNAcentral.
GCGACUGUGGCGUAAUGGUAGCGUAGGGGACUGUGGCUCCCCUGGUCGGGGUUCAAUUCCCCGCAGUCGCC